This 1319-nucleotide long non-coding RNA is filed under the name Homo sapiens (human). RNAcentral's name for it is "non-protein coding LINC01194:1". Lineage: Eukaryota; Metazoa; Chordata; Mammalia; Primates; Hominidae. The record is from RNAcentral.
CUCCACACCGCCUUGCAAGCUGAGGGAGCCGGCUCCGGCCUCUGCCAGCCCAGGAAGGGGCUCCCACAGUGCAGCGGCGGGCUGAAGGACUCCUCAAGUGCCACCAAAGUGGGAGCCCAGGCAGAGGAGGCGCCGAGAGCGAGCGAGGGCUGCCUGCCAGCACGCUGUCACGUCUCAGCAAUAGACUGCUCUUGAGGCUGGAGUGCAAUGUUGUUAUCAUAGCUCACUGCAACCUGGAACCCCUAGUCUCAAGAGAUCCUCCAGCCUCAGCCUCCCUGGGAUGGCUAUUUUUGUUACUUCUGAAUUCUACUACAAAAGAGUGCUGCAAUAAAAAUCUUUGAACAAGUUCUAAUGCCGUUCAACUGGAAUUGAAGUUUUCAAUCGUUGGAUAUGUCAAAAUUUAAUCAGAUUGUAUAUUGCUCAAUUACUUUCAAAUUAUGUACACCAAGUCAUUCUUGCUCUGGCAAAAUAAGAAUAUUUUCAUUAAUAUAUCAUUCAACUUGAAAUUGCCCAGCUUUUCCUUCUCAUUUCCCCCCAGUCAAAUGAGUUGAAUUAAUACUGUCUAAAAAUAUAUAUUCAUUUGCUUACCUGUUAGUAUUUGUUCCAUGUAUUAAGAAGCUUUGCUAGUAUAUGAAAAUAUAUGUAUUACCAUGUCUUGUGAAUUAGUACUUUUAUCAUUUUGAAAUGUUUGUUUUCAUUUCUGCUGACCGUUCUAACCUGGGUAUCUAUUUUGACUGGUUUUUAAUGUAACUACUAACAUCUUUUUAUGUUCAGCACUUUUUCACAAUUUUACUUUCAAUGUCUUUAUUUUUAAAAUGUAUCUUCUGUAGACAGUGUACAGGUGGUCUUGUUUUAUUGUAAAUCAAGUGACAAUCUCUAUUUCAUAAUUGACAUAUUUAAUCCAUAUAUAUUUAAUUUAAUUGUUGUUAUUUUGAGACUUAAUAUCCAGUUUUACUAUUUUGGCCCAUUUAUUUUUGGUUUAUUUUAGAUGUCUUGCCUUAUCUUAGAUUGAUUGAUAUUUUUAGUAUUUAAUUACAUUUCUUUUAUAAAUGUAAUUUCUUGAAUAUUUGUUUUUAUUUUAGCAAUUGCUCUGGGAAUAUAAAAAUCAUCUUUAAAAUCUAUUUAGAGUUAAUGGUACUACUUUAUGCAGUAGGUAAAAACAUUUCACUAGCACAAUUUCAUUUGCAGGCACCUAACCUUCUGUGAUAGUAUUGUCUUAUAUUGUUAUAUUUAUGAGAUACAAUCACUACAGUAAAAUACUAUUUUCUAUUCAUUGUGCCAUCUUAUAAAUAAACAGAUGAAUAAACAGAUAUUUUUGA